GAUGAACGCUGGCGGCGUGCUUAACACAUGCAAGUCGAACGGAGUUUACUGUGAUGAUUUCUUCGGAAUGAUAAUGGUAAACUUAGUGGCGGACGGGUGAGUAACGCGUGGGUAACCUGCCUCACACUGGGGGACAACAGUUGGAAACGACUGCUAAUACCGCAUAAGCGCACAGCUUCGCAUGAAGCAGUGUGAAAAACUCCGGUGGUGUGAGAUGGACCCGCGUCUGAUUAGCUAGUUGGCGGAGUAACGGCUUACCAAGGCGACGAUACAUAGCCGACCUGAGAGGGUGAUCGGCCACACUGGGACUGAGACACGGCCCAGACUCCUACGGGAGGCAGCAGUGGGGAAUAUUGGGGCAAUGGACGCAAGUCUGACCCAGCAACGCCGCGUGAAGGAAGAAGGCUUUCGGGUUGUAAACUUCUUUUAAGGGGGAACAGUAGAAGAGGGUACCCCUUGAAUAAGCCACGGCUAACUACGUG
This 482-nucleotide ribosomal RNA is filed under the name uncultured bacterium. Its description in RNAcentral is "bacterial SSU rRNA". It matches the Rfam family "Bacterial small subunit ribosomal RNA", at positions 28 to 507 of the family's 1533-position model. The record is from RNAcentral.